AAUUCAAAGACUCAUCCACCGGACCUUACAAUUUGGUUUCUUCGCACAACAAUCUUCAACCUUUUAUCACCAGCCAUAGAUUUCGUCAACACUUCAUAAUCCUUGACAACAGCGAGAGAUCAUAUUUCACGUGUAGAUCACCAUAACUCCACAUCUAUGUGACUUGAUAUCACUAUAGUUUCGCCUCUGCAUGCACUCAAUCGGUGUAACUUGAUCAUCGCAACUAUGCCCCUUGUGUGAUUCGAUUAUCACUACAACUUCACCUUGAUGCUAGCCCAUCACCACGAUCCACCUUAAACUUUAAACUUGUCGUCAUCUUUAUCGUAAUCUCAAAGUUUGAACCAUGAACGUUUACACCGCUUAUUGCGAAAAAUCUCACUGAA
This 383-nucleotide long non-coding RNA is filed under the name Olea europaea (common olive). RNAcentral describes it as "long non-coding RNA (OEUR_LNC005609)". Lineage: Eukaryota; Viridiplantae; Streptophyta; Magnoliopsida; Lamiales; Oleaceae. The record is from RNAcentral.